RNAcentral lists this ribosomal RNA (560 nucleotides) under uncultured bacterium. RNAcentral's name for it is "bacterial SSU rRNA". It matches the Rfam family "Bacterial small subunit ribosomal RNA", at positions 63 to 598 of the family's 1533-position model. The record is from RNAcentral.
CGGACGAGAAAGUGGACUUCGGUCCGCAAGUAAAGUGGCAUACGGGUGAGUAACACGUGGGUAACCUGCCCGGAGGUGGGGGACAACUCUUCGAAAGGGGAGCUAAUACCGCAUAACAUCCCGAGCACUUCGGUGCAUGGGAUCAAAGUUUGCCUCUGUUUCAUGCAAACGCCACCGGAGGGACCCGCGUCCCAUUAGCUUGAUGGUGAGGUAACGGCUCACCAUGGCUACGAUGGGUAGCCGGCCUGAGAGGGUGAUCGGCCACACUGGAACUGAGACACGGUCCAGACUCCUACGGGAGGCAGCAGUGAGGAAUUUUGCGCAAUGGGCGAAAGCCUGACGCAGCGACGCCGCGUGGAGGAAGAAGGCCUUCGGGUCGUAAACUCCUGUCAAGAGGGACGAAUCCCUAUCGAAUGAAUAAGUCAGUAGGUUGACGGUACCUCUGAAGGAAGCCCCGGCUAACUCCGUGCCAGCAGCCGCGGUAAUACGGAGGGGGCAAGCGUUGUUCGGAAUUAUUGGGCGUAAAGGGCACGUAGGCGGUCAAGCAAGUUGGUGGUGAA